This 301-nucleotide ribosomal RNA is filed under the name uncultured bacterium. RNAcentral's name for it is "partial 16S ribosomal RNA". It matches the Rfam family "Bacterial small subunit ribosomal RNA", at positions 509 to 807 of the family's 1533-position model. The record is from RNAcentral.
CAGUCGCCGCGGUAAUACGAAGGGGGCUAGCGUUGCUCGGAAUUACUGGGCGUAAAGGGCGCGUAGGCGGACAAUUAAGUCGGGGGUGAAAGCCCGGGGCUCAACCUCGGAAUUGCCUUCGAUACUGGCUGUCUUGAGUGUGAGAGAGGUGUGUGGAACUCCGAGUGUAGAGGUGAAAUUCGUAGAUAUUCGGAAGAACACCAGUGGCGAAGGCGACACACUGGCUCACUACUGACGCUGAGGCGCGAAAGCGUGGGGAGCAAACAGGAUUAGAGACCCGAGUAGUCCCUGUCUCUUAUAC